AGUGAACGCUGGCGGUAGGCCUAACACAUGCAAGUCGAACGGCAGCACAGUAAGAGCUUGCUCUUACGGGUGGCGAGUGGCGGACGGGUGAGGAAUACAUCGGAAUCUACUUUUUCGUGGGGGAUAACGUAGGGAAACUUACGCUAAUACCGCAUACGACCUACGGGUGAAAGCAGGGGAUCUUCGGACCUUGCGCGAUUGAAUGAGCCGAUGUCGGAUUAGCUAGUUGGCGGGGUAAAGGCCCACCAAGGCGACGAUCCGUAGCUGGUCUGAGAGGAUGGUCAGCCACACGGGAACUGAGACACGGUCCAGACUCCUACGGGAGGCAGCAGUGGGGAAUAUUGGACAAUGGGCGCAAGCCUGAUCCAGCCAUACCGCGUGGGUGAAGAAGGCCUUCGGUUUGUAAAGCCCUUUUGUUGGGAAAGAAAAGCAGCAGGUUAAUACCCCGCUGUUCUGACGGUACCCAAAGAAUAAGCACCGGCUAACUUCGUG
RNAcentral lists this ribosomal RNA (492 nucleotides) under uncultured bacterium. Its description in RNAcentral is "partial 16S ribosomal RNA". It matches the Rfam family "Bacterial small subunit ribosomal RNA", at positions 29 to 507 of the family's 1533-position model. The record is from RNAcentral.